RNAcentral lists this ribosomal RNA (505 nucleotides) under uncultured bacterium. RNAcentral's name for it is "bacterial SSU rRNA". It matches the Rfam family "Bacterial small subunit ribosomal RNA", at positions 336 to 841 of the family's 1533-position model. The record is from RNAcentral.
CUCCUACGGAAGGCAGCAGUGAGGAAUAUUGGUCAAUGGACGAGAGUCUGAACCAGCCAAGUAGCGUGCAGGAUGACGGCCCUAUGGGUUGUAAACUGCUUUUAUAAGGGAAUAAAGUGAGCCUCGUGAGGCUUUUUGCAUGUACCUUAUGAAUAAGGACCGGCUAAUUCCGUGCCAGCAGCCGCGGUAAUACGGAAGGUCCGGGCGUUAUCCGGAUUUAUUGGGUUUAAAGGGAGCGUAGGCCGGAGAUUAAGCGUGUUGUGAAAUGUAGACGCUCAACGUCUGCACUGCAGCGCGAACUGGUUUUCUUGAAUACGCACAAAGUGGGCGGAAUUCGUGGUGUAGCGGUGAAAUGCUUAGAUAUCACGAAGAACUCCGAUUGCGAAGGCAGCUCACUGGAGCGCAACUGACGCUGAAGCUCGAAAGUGCGGGUAUCGAACAGGAUUAGAUACCCUGGUAGUCCGCACGGUAAACGAUGGAUGCCCGCUGUUGGUCUGAAUAGGUC